Molecule: ribosomal RNA, 465 nt
Filed under: uncultured bacterium
Lineage: Bacteria
Description: partial 16S ribosomal RNA
Rfam family: Bacterial small subunit ribosomal RNA
Source: RNAcentral
CCUACGGGAGGCAGCAGUGGGGAAUAUUGCGCAAUGGGCGAAAGCCUGACGCAGCGACGCCGCGUGAGGGAUGAAGGUCUUCGGAUUGUAAACCUCUUUUAGUAGGGAAGAACGUUCACUGUUCUAAUCAGCAGUGACUUGACGGUACCUGCAAAGGAAGCACCGGCAAACUCCGUGCCAGCAGCUGCGGCAAUACGGAGGGUGCGAGCGUUAAUCGGAAUUACUGGGCGUAAAGCGCUCGUAGGCGGUAUGUCAAGUCAAGGGUGAAAUCCCAGCGCUGAACGUGGGAACUGCAUUUGAAACUGGCAGACUGGAGUAUGUGAGAGGAUGGUGGAAUUCCAGGUGUAGGAGUGAAAUCCGUAGAUAUCUAGAGGAACAUCAGUGGCGAAGGCGACUAUCUAGAACAUAACUGACGCUGAGGAGCGAAAGCGUGGGUAGCAAACAGGAUCAGAUACCCGAGUAGUC